This 352-nucleotide ribosomal RNA is filed under the name uncultured bacterium. RNAcentral describes it as "partial 16S ribosomal RNA". It matches the Rfam family "Bacterial small subunit ribosomal RNA", at positions 527 to 881 of the family's 1533-position model. The record is from RNAcentral.
GGAAGGUCCGGGCGUUAUCCGGAUCCAUUGGGUNUAAAGGGAGCGUANGCCGGANAUUAANCGUGUUGUGAAAUGUAGACNCUCAACGUCUGCACUGCAGCGCGAACUGGUNUCCUNGAGUACGCACAAAGUGGGCGGAAUUCGUGGUGUAGCGGUGAAAUGCUUAGAUAUCACGAAGAACUCCNAUUGCGAAGGCAGCUCACUGGAGCGCANCUGACGCUGAAGCUCGAAAGUGCGGGUAUCGAACAGGAUUANAUACCCUGGUAGUCCGCACGGUAAACGAUGGAUGCCCGCUGUAGGCNAUAUACGGUCUGCGGCCAAGCGAAAGCAUUAAGUAUUCCACCUGGGGAGU